RNAcentral lists this ribosomal RNA (328 nucleotides) under uncultured eukaryote. RNAcentral describes it as "partial 18S ribosomal RNA". It matches the Rfam family "Eukaryotic small subunit ribosomal RNA", at positions 1470 to 1796 of the family's 1831-position model. The record is from RNAcentral.
CCCUUAGAUGUCCGGGGCUGCACGCGCGCUACACUGAAGGAAUCAGCGUGCUAAAACCAUUGUCGAAAGGCAUUGGUAAACCCAUUAAAAUCCUACGUGAUUGGGAUCGGGAAUUGCAAUUAUUUCCCUUGAACGAGGAAUUCCCAGUAAGUGUGGGUCAUAAGCUCGCGUUGAUUACGUCCCUGCCCUUUGUACACACCGCCCGUCGCUGCCCGGGACUGAGCCGUUUCGAGAAAAGCGGGGACUGCUGCUGUCGGGGCUUUCGGGCCUUGGCUUCGGUGGAAACCGCUUUAAUCGCAGUCGCUUGAACCGGGCAAAAGUCGUANCA